This 85-nucleotide transfer RNA is filed under the name Candidatus Peregrinibacteria bacterium. RNAcentral describes it as "tRNA-Tyr". It matches the Rfam family "tRNA". From Rfam's summary of the family: Transfer RNA (tRNA) molecules are approximately 80 nucleotides in length. Their secondary structure includes four short double-helical elements and three loops (D, anti-codon, and T loops). Further hydrogen bonds mediate the characteristic L-shaped molecular structure. tRNAs have two regions of fundamental functional importance: the anti-codon, which is responsible for specific mRNA codon recognition, and the 3' end, to which the tRNAs corresponding amino acid is attached (by aminoacyl-tRNA synthetases). tRNAs cope with the degeneracy of the genetic code in two manners: having more than one tRNA (with a specific anti-codon) for a particular amino acid; and 'wobble' base-pairing, i.e. permitting non-standard base-pairing at the 3rd anti-codon position. The record is from RNAcentral. RNAcentral also lists the same sequence under 1 other name. Lineage: Bacteria; Candidatus Peregrinibacteriota.
GGGCAGGUUCCGGAGUGGUUAAACGGGGCAGACUGUAAAUCUGUUGGCUACGCCUUCAGGGGUUCGAAUCCCUUCCUGCCCACCA